This 792-nucleotide ribosomal RNA is filed under the name uncultured soil archaeon. RNAcentral describes it as "bacterial SSU rRNA". It matches the Rfam family "Archaeal small subunit ribosomal RNA", at positions 77 to 854 of the family's 1478-position model. The record is from RNAcentral.
CGGGGUAUACGGAUCAGUAACAAGUGGACAAUCUGCCCUAGAGACAGUGCUAACCUCGUGAAAGUGAGGAAAGAACUGAUAGGUGAAAAGUCCUGAAAUGGUUCCUCGCUCAAAGGAUACUAGGACACAUGCUGUUCAGUUUGCACUACGAUGAGAGUAAAGCUGAUCAGGUAGUUGAUGGGGUAACGGCCUACCAAGCCUAUUACCAGUACGGGCCGUGAGAGCGGGAGCCCGUAGAUGGGCACUGAGACAAGGGCCCAGGCCCUACGGGGCGCAGCAGGAGCGAAACCUCCGCAAUGCGCGAAAGCGCGACGGGGCCACCCCGAGUGCUAUCCGUUGAGGAUAGCUUUUCAUUAGUCUAAGAAGCUGAUGGAAUAAGCGGGGGGCAAGCCUGGUGUCAGCCGCCGCGGUAAUACCAGCUCCGCGAGUGGUCGGGACGUUUAUUGGGUCUAAAGCGUCCGUAGCCGGCUUACUAAGUCUCCGGCUAAAGCCCACGGCUUAACCGUGGGAUUGCCGAAGAUACUGGUAGGCUUGGGGGCGGAAGAGCCCGAGGGUACUUCCGGGGUAGGGGCGAAAUCCUAUAAUCCCGGAAGGACCACCAGUGGCGAAGGCGCUCGGCUAGUACGCGCCCGACGGUGAGGGACGAAAGCUGGGGGAGCGAACCGGAUUAGAUACCCGGGUAGUCCCAGCUGUAAACGAUGCAGACUAGGUGUUGGAUAGGCUUCGGGCCUAUCCAGUGCCGCAGUGAAGACAAUAAGUCUGCCACCUGAGGAAACGNCCGGCAGGCUGAAC